AGAGUUUGAUCCUGGCUCAGAACGAACGCUGGCGGCGUGCCUAACACAUGCAAGUCGAGCGCGAAUAGGGGCAACCCUUAGUGGAGCGGCGCACGGGUGCGUAACACGUGGGUAAUCUGCCUGGAAGCCUGGGAUAACUAGCCGAAAGGUUAGCUAAUACCAGAUAAGACCCCGGGGGCUUCGGCCCUUGAGGGAAAAGGUGGCCUCUGUAUACAAGCUAUCACUUCCAGAUGAGCCCGCGGCCCAUCAGCUAGUUGGCGGGGUAAUGGCCCACCAAGGCAACGACGGGUAGCUGGUCUGAGAGGACGAUCAGCCACACUGGAACUGAGACACGGUCCAGACUCCUACGGGAGGCAGCAGUGGGGAAUUUUGCGCAAUGGGCGAAAGCCUGACGCAGCAACGCCGCGUGUGUGAUGAAGGUCUUCGGAUUGUAAAGCACUUUCGACCGGGACGAAACCCUCCAGCCCAAUACGCUGGAGCCUGACGGUACCGGGAGAAGAAGCACCGGCUAACUCUGUGCCAGCAGCCGCGGUAAUACAGAGGGUGCAAGCGUUGUUCGGAAUUAUUGGGCGUAAAGCGCGUGUAGGCGGCUUUGCAAGUCGGGUGUGAAAGCCCUCGGCUCAACCGAGGAAGUGCGCCCGAAACUGCAGAGCUUGAGUGCCGGAGAGGAUGGCGGAAUUCCCCAAGUAGAGGUGAAAUUCGUAGAUAUGGGGAGGAACACCGGUGGCGAAGGCGGCCAUCUGGACGGUCACUGACGCUGAGACGCGAAAGCGUGGGGAGCAAACAGGAUUAGAUACCCCCGUAGUCC
RNAcentral lists this ribosomal RNA (808 nucleotides) under uncultured Cystobacterineae bacterium. Its description in RNAcentral is "bacterial SSU rRNA". It matches the Rfam family "Bacterial small subunit ribosomal RNA", at positions 8 to 796 of the family's 1533-position model. Lineage: Bacteria; Pseudomonadati; Myxococcota; Myxococcia; Myxococcales. The record is from RNAcentral.